AUUGAACGCUGGCGGCAGGCCUAACACAUGCAAGUCGAACGAGUGGCGGACGGGUGAGUAAUGUCUGGGAAACUGCCCGAUGGAGGGGGAUAAAUACUGGAAACGGUAGCUAAUACCGCAUACCAUCGGAUGUGCCCAGAUGGGAUUAGCUAGGAGGUGGGGUAACGGCUAACCUAGGAGACGAUCCCUGGCUGGGCGGAGAGGAUGACCAGCCACUCUGGAAUUGAGACACGUUCCAGACUCCUACGGUAGGCAGCAGUGGGGAAUAUUGCACAAUGGGCGCAGGCCUGAUGCAGCCAGGCCGCGUGUAUGAAUAAGGCCUUCGGGUUGUAAAGUACUUUCAGCGAGGAGGCGUUACUCGCAGAAGAAGCACCGGCUAACUCCGUGCCAGCAGCCGCGGUAAUAC
This 406-nucleotide ribosomal RNA is filed under the name uncultured bacterium. RNAcentral's name for it is "partial 16S ribosomal RNA". It matches the Rfam family "Bacterial small subunit ribosomal RNA", at positions 30 to 526 of the family's 1533-position model. The record is from RNAcentral.